RNAcentral lists this ribosomal RNA (253 nucleotides) under uncultured bacterium. Its description in RNAcentral is "partial 16S ribosomal RNA". It matches the Rfam family "Bacterial small subunit ribosomal RNA", at positions 524 to 776 of the family's 1533-position model. The record is from RNAcentral.
UACGUAGGUGACAAGCGUUGUCCGGAUUUACUGGGCGUAAAGAGCGCGCAGGCGGUCGAUCAAGUCGAGUGUGAAAGCCCCCGGCUCAACUGGGGAGGGUCAUUCGAUACUGAUCGACUCGAAGGCAGGAGAGGGUAGUGGAAUUCCCGGUGUAGUGGUGAAAUGCGUAGAUAUCGGGAGGAACACUAGUGGCGAAGGCGACUACCUGGCCUGUUCUUGACGCUGAGGCGCGAAAGCUAGGGGAGCAAACGGG